Molecule: non-coding RNA, 1351 nt
Organism: Drosophila melanogaster (fruit fly)
Lineage: Eukaryota; Metazoa; Arthropoda; Insecta; Diptera; Drosophilidae
Source: Ensembl
AGUUGGAGAAAAAAUUGUUCGUAAAGUUUUCUAUGUGGAUGAAAAUCUCUGGAGGGAACUCAGUUGAGGAGGUGACAUGAACUCGUCGUCACGUGAAGGAACUACUUUCGCGUGGCCACUUUCCAAUCCGUAAAUGAUGCUCGAAUGAGGCAGCAGGCAUGGAAUAAGAGUUUGACAGCGAUAGUCCAUGAUGGGACUAUUCUGAGAUCCGGCUUCAGAUAAGCCUCUAUUUAUUUUUUCGCAAAUACCGUCCAGUCAUCGACCCACCAAGCGGAUUGCAUUGUUAACAAUGGCCAAAUUCUAUGAUCCACUUGUUCUAAUAACCCCAAUCUCUAUGGAGUGCUAAGGUGAAAUGCCAGGACAAUUCUUUCGUCAUGGGCGGAGUUGACUUUACAGUUAUCACGAUUCGUAAUGCAGCCUAGAGCUUCCGUUCAGUAACUGAACUUCAGUUCCAUCGAUUUUGCGAUGCUAUCAGCUUAUGGAUCGUGCUUAUUCUGUCAUAAGGCAGAGACCAGAAACAAGUAAGUGCUAUAUAUCCGUGUUCGUUUGCUUUUUCACGAAGACAGCAUUUGGAAGUUGUUCAGGAGAAGAUUCAUCAGUCUUCGAGGCAUUCUACGUACUAUUUGGAGUGAUAACGCUAGAAACUUUGUUAGUGCCAUGAGCGAGCCGAGCGGCGAGAGCUUUUCUUGAUAGCUAGACAAUGACAAAUGGAUAGGCACAGGCGUCCAGACUCACAAAAUUUACAAGACUAAUAAAAUUAUGCAAAAAACAUUAAAACCGGGUAUAAUUACAAUUGGAAGAUUCAAAUAGUUUCAUGCCCAAGACGUCGCCAAAUUUAUGGCCAGUCAAGACUUCCUGUUCCCGGAUUGGCUAUAAGUGACAUCAAGGCGGCCCAUUGAUCAGCGUAAUGAAGAGGCCGACGAUUCCCUAAUUGCUGUUGCCAGAAGUCCCACUACUGCCUAUAAAGGCUCAGAUGCAGUCACGCCCCAGAAGAUGAUGAUGCGGGUGAGCUCUUGGCUUUGGAAGGUCCUAAAGCUAGCAGUCAUAAUGUCAGUUCAUAGAUUACAACACCGGUCCCUCCCAAGUGUUGAUUAUGGAUCUAUGGGAAUAAUAUACAUAUAUGAAAUCCGUAAAAAACUUGCAACCAUUUGUCUUUUCAUGCCCUCGAGUGUCUGCUCAGAUGUGGACGUGGACGUAGAUUUGUGGCUGGAAAAAGGAUGCGAGAUUUCCUCCUCGUCUGACAAACUGACGGACUUGGAUGACUUAUCUGUUCGUCUAACUUCAGUUCCGUCUGAUGGCUCUGGCCGAAUCGACUGAACUCCUAAGACGGCUGGUACUGAGGCAAAAACUU